AAAAUGUCUGAGAUGUGACACGGAGCCGUAUUGGUGAAGUGGGUGAUCCUAUGCUGUCGAGAAAAACCUCUAGCGAGCUAUGCGCCGCCCGUACCCCAAACCGACUCAGGUGAUCAGGUAGAGAAUACCAAGGCGAUCGAGAUAACCAUGGUUAAGGAACUCGGCAAAAUGCCCCCGUAACUUCGGGAGAAGGGGGGCCCGGAGCGUGUACCCACUUGCUGGGGAAGCGUGAAGGGCCGCAGAGACCAGGCCCAAGCGACUGUUUUACUAAAAACACAGGUCCGUGCGAAGUUGUAAGACGAUGUAUACGGACUGACUCCUGCCCGGUGCUGGAAGGUUAAGAGGACGGGUUAGACGUAAGUCGAAGCUCAGAAUUUAAGCCCCAGUAAACGGCGGUGGUAACUAUAACCAUCCUAAGGUAGCGAAAUUCCUUGUCGGCUAAGUUCCGACCUGCACGAAUGGAGUAACGACUUGGGCGCUGUCUCAACCAUGGACUCGGCGAAAUUGCACUACGAGUAAAGAUGCUCGUUACGCGCGGCAGGACGGAAAGACCCCGGGACCUUUACUAUAGUUUGGUAUUGGUGUUUGGUUCGGCUUGUGUAGGAUAGGUGGGAGACUUUGAAGCAGCCACGCCAGUGGUUGUGGAGUCAUCGUUGAAAUACCACUCUGGUCGUACUAGAUGUCUAACCUAGGUCCGUUAUCCGGAUCAGGGACAGUGCCUGAUGGGUAGUUUAACUGGGGCGGUUGCCUCCUAAAAUGUAACGGAGGCGCUCAAAGGUUCCCUCAGCCUGGUUGGCAAUCAGGUGUUGAGUGUAAGUGCACAAGGGAGCUUGACUGUGAGACAGACAUGUCGAGCAGGGACGAAAGUCGGAACUAGUGAUCCGGCCACGGCAUGUGGAAGCGUGGUCGCUCAACGGAUAAAAGAUACCCCGGGGAUAACAGGCUGAUCUUCCCCAAGAGUCCAUAUCGACGGGAUGGUUUGGCACCUCGAUGUCGGCUCGUCGCAUCCUGGGGCUGGAGUAGGUCCCAAGGGUUGGGCUGUUCGCCCAUUAAAGCGGCACGCGAGCUGGGUUUAGAACGUCGUGAGACAGUUCGGUCCCUAUCCGCCGCGCGCGCAGGAAACUUGAGAAGGGCUGUCCCUAGUACGAGAGGACCGGGAUGGACUAACCUCAGGUGUGCCAGUUGUCCCGCCAGGGGCACGGCUGGUUGGCUACGUUCGGAAGUGAUAACCGCUGAAUGCAUCUAAGCGGGAAGCACGUUUCAAGAUGAGGUUUCCCACCAGGUUAACUGGGUAAGGCCCCCCACAGACUAUGGGGUUGAUAGGCCGGAGGUGUACAGCAGUAAUGCCCAGCCGACCGGUACUAAUAGGCCGAGGGCUUGUCUC
This 1384-nucleotide ribosomal RNA is filed under the name metagenome. Its description in RNAcentral is "bacterial LSU rRNA". It matches the Rfam family "Bacterial large subunit ribosomal RNA", at positions 1549 to 2925 of the family's 2925-position model. The record is from RNAcentral.